Molecule: ribosomal RNA, 486 nt
Filed under: uncultured bacterium
Lineage: Bacteria
Description: bacterial SSU rRNA
Rfam family: Bacterial small subunit ribosomal RNA
Source: RNAcentral
AACGAACGCUGGCGGCGUGGAUAAGACAUGCAAGUCGAACGGGAUUCCUUUCGGUAGCAAUACUGAGAGGGAUUCAGUGGCGAACGGGUGCGUAACACGUGGGGAAUCUGCCGAGAAGUGGGGGAUAGCUCGUCGAAAGGCGAAUUAAUACCGCAUAUGAUCAGGGAAGACAUCUUUCCAACAUCAAAGCCGGGGCAACCUGGCGCUUCUUGAUGACCCCGCGGCCAUCAGCUAGUUGGUGAGGUAACGGCCCACCAAGGCUAUGACGGGUAGCUGGUCUGAGAGGACGACCAGUCACACUGGAACUGAGACACGGUCCAGACACCUACGGGUGGCAGCAGUCGAGAAUUUUUCUCAAUGGGCGAAAAGCCUGAAGGAGCGACGCCGCGUGGAGGAUGAAGGCUUUCGGGUCGUAAACUCCUGUCAUUUGAGAACAAGUGCCAACACUAACUACUGUGCUUGAUAGUAUCAGAAGAGGAAGGACGG